Molecule: long non-coding RNA, 1215 nt
Filed under: Coturnix japonica (Japanese quail)
Lineage: Eukaryota; Metazoa; Chordata; Aves; Galliformes; Phasianidae
Description: lncRNA (ENSCJPG00005002386.1)
Source: RNAcentral
AAGCUGCAGCUGCAGCUGCAGCCACUGCAUGGAGGCGCAAUUGUCUUUGCAGUUCAAUUGCAAUUGCAGGUUGCAUUUGCAAUCCCAGUUCUGGUCCCGGUUGCAAUUUGCAACUUGGAGUCUGCAGGUGCAAUUCCUAUCACAGUUGCAGUUGCAUUUUGCAGCUGCAGCUGCAGCGUGCAGAUACAGCCACCAUGCAUGUAUGCGAUCGUAGUUUGCAGGUGAGGUCGAUGUUAGAGUUGCAGGUGCAGCUGCAGCCACUACAUGAAUGUGCAGCGGUCUUUGCAGUUGCAAUUGCAAUAGCAGGUUGCAUUUGCAAUCCCAGUUCCGGUCCCAGUUGCAAUUUGCAACUUGGAGUCUGCAGAUGCAAUUACUACCUCAGUUGCAGUUGCAUUUUGCAGCUGCAGCUGCCGUGUGCAGAUACAACCAUCGUGCAUGUAUGCGAUCGUAAUUUGCAGGUGAGGUCGAUGUUAGAGUUGCAGCUGCAGCUGCAGCCACUGCAUGAAGGUGCAGCGGUCUUUGCAGUUGCAAUUGCAAUUGCAGGUUGCAGGUGCAAUCCCAGUUCCGGUCCCAGUUGCAAUUUGCAACUUGGAGUCUGCAGGUGCAAUUCCUACCGCAGUUGCAGUUGCAUUUUGCAGCUGCAGCUGCUGUGUGCAGAUACAACCAUCAUGCGUGUAUGCAAUCGUAGUUUGCAGGUGAAGUCGAUGUUAGAGUUGCAGCUGCAGCUGCAGCCACUGCACGAAUAUGCAGCGGUCUUUGCAGUUGCAAUUGCAAUUGCAGGUUGUACUUGCAAUCCCAGCUCCAGUCUCAGUUGCAAUUUGCAACUCGGAGUCUGUAAGUGCAAUUACUACCGUAGUUGCAGUUGCAUUUUGCAGCAGUUUGCAGUUUGCAGGUGCAGUUUGCAGGUGCAGUUGCAGCUGUCCUUGUUGCAGUUGCAGUUUGCUCCCCUCCUCCCAUGUGCUCUCUCUGCAGGAUGCAUUGCUGGGGUUGGGUGCUGCCAUCGACGCCGCCCACCUGCAGGAUGCGCUGCGUGCUGCAUUGCUGGCGCUGCUGCCCCGCGUGGAGCACUCCUACAUCUACCUGCUGGAUGGGGACGCCCGGCUGAGCUGCGCUGACCCCCCCCAUGAGCUUCCUAUGGAGGGGAAGCUCAGGUAACACCUCCCCCCCCUCAGCCCCCCAAUGUGUGGGGCAGCCAUAGGGCAGAGCUGCCCCCCC